This 2483-nucleotide long non-coding RNA is filed under the name Citrus sinensis (sweet orange). Its description in RNAcentral is "long non-coding RNA (CSIN_LNC003125)". The record is from RNAcentral. Lineage: Eukaryota; Viridiplantae; Streptophyta; Magnoliopsida; Sapindales; Rutaceae.
CAACGUUCAAUGUUCUUCACUCUCAUUGUGACUUUCGAGAACAAGGCGCAUCAACUUCUGAGUGGAAGAGGUUAACUGUAAGAUCAAAUAUUGAAAUUCUGUUUCAGCCAGAAAACUCUUAUCAAAAUCUACAAAUUCAAGCUCUCUUCAAUUGUCUCUCUGGCACUGAGUGCUUACAGAUACCCAUGCUGAAUGUUAAUCAUUAGUUAGGUGUUUCUGUCGUUUUAUAUUUAGAAGUUUAUGUCUGGGCUAUGUCCCCGGCUAUAAGAUAUAUCAUAUAUUUCAUAGAUGUCUUUCUAUUUACAGUGUAUCAUAAUGAUUAUAUAUUCUGGAUUUGACAGUAGAGUAGUUUGUUUAGUGAUUUUGGACAAACGGAAACUGAUGAUCUUUUUCCAUGUUCUUCCAUAUCCAAAAAUGGGGUGCUUUUCUAACGAUUGUGCUUGAAUUUAAUAGAUUGUUACUCUUUUAUUUUGGGGGGGGGGGAAUUUUGUUGUGGCUUCUGAAAUAUUUUGUAAUCUUUUGUAAUAUUUGUCCUAUUGAAUGUUCAAUAGAUAUAGUUUAGGGUAGAUAUGGAAAGUUAUUUGCGGGCCAAUACUAAGCUGACACAUGAAAAGGUAUUAUAAUAAAAUAUGAGCCCACAUGUGCAAAUCAUGGAUGAGGACAGCCCUAGUGAAUUUAGCUCACUUAGAAGGACAAAUCUAAAAUAAAAUAAGAGAUAUUUUGGUCUCUAGCAUGUUGUCGGUUGAGUCAGGACGAGGGCUUAAAUUUUGAAAAAUGGCAAGGCUCUUCCCUUUGAAACUAAGGCCACCCCUAGGAGGUUUACUCUUCGUUUUGAGUUUCCUGGAAGGUAAACUUUCGUGUGGGUUAGGAGCCGUGGUACUCUCAUUGUCAAAGUCGUCGUUAGAAUCACUCUUGGCUGUUGUUUUCCCCUCCUCCCUCAUAAACUCCUGGAUUCACCCUCAUCACUAUCAUUACUAGAGUUGGUAAAAUGGAUAAUUGUGUCGCGUACGUGUCGUGUCAGAUUUAGGUUAACCUUAACAUGACCCAUUUAAUAAUCGUAUUAAAAUAUUGAGAUUCAAACUAGACACAGAAAAUAAAUAGGUUAUUUAAUAACACGUUUAAUAUCUAUAUAUUUAAUAAAAUUUAUAUCAAACAUCUGCAUACUAUUAUACAUACACUCCUCUAAAAUAUUACACAUUUAUACUAUUGAAAUUUUACUAUUAAAAUUUUAAAUCUAUAUAAAAUAUUAUAAAUGAAACAUUGUAUAUACGUCCAUCCUUUAGAAAAAAUAAAUAAAAAAAGAGAAUUAUGUCUAAUAUUUGAAUUUUAAUAACAAGAAUCUAAAAAUUAAUUUAAAAUAAAAAGUAUAAUUGUAUCAUUCAUUAGGUAAAUCAGUUAAGAACUUUAACCCUAAUCCAUCAUUAAAAAAAAUCACCUUAAAUUUAAUAACUUAUACCCAUUUAUUUGUGUUGUAUUCAUAUUAAAUAAUCAGCUCAUAUCAAAUUUUGCUAACUCUAAUCAUCACUUAAUGUGGGGAAACAAUAUUGCCGAGGGGCAAACUUAAAACGAGAAUAUUCACCAUUAUCCCACUCGUCUCAUCAUUAUCCUCCAAAUAAAAAACAUCCACCUUCCUCUUCAUAACUGUCACAAACCUAUUGAAUUACCCUCUCAUCACAAACCCCAACACAAAUAGAAAAAUAGAAGCAGCGAAAUACAGAACCAACAAAACAAAAACUAAAGAAGGCCAACAGCAAAAAUGGAGAAAGAGAAGGGAAACAUACCUCAUUUGAUUGAAAGAUGAGCAGAUUUAAAGAAAGGGAAGAAAGAGAGGUGAGAAAUCGAGCAACAGACCACCUAAAAAAAAAGGAGAAAAGAGAGAGAAGAAUUUAUGAUCAUGUAAAAGAAAGGAAGAGCGGAGAAAAGGAAGAAGAAAAAUAAAAGAAAGGAAGGUCAAACCUUAGUAUGAAGAAGCAAUAAGAGAAGUUGCAAUGCCAAGGUGAUGGACGGUGAACUCCUGCAUCAUCAUAAUGUGCAGUUGUAAAACAGAGCAAAUCUCAUAAUAAAACGCAGAGGAGGAGAAGAUGGACUCGCCAGAGGGUAGAUUCAAAGCGCCUACAAGUCAAAGCCCAAAUUUUUCAGAAACAGGGGCUUCAAGCUAAAGGGGAGAGUAAGCGAAGCAGGAAGUAUGAAGGAAAGAGAGAGGAAUCGAUUUUGGGUAAGAAAAACCAUACAGCAAAGGGUUAGCCAAGUGUAAGGGGGAGAUCAUCCCUUACUUAAAUGGGUUUUAAUCUAAUGGCAAUAAGGCAAUGACCACUGAAAAAGGGGUUCGAAGAAUAUGAAAAGGUGGGAAAAAAUUUGCGCUGUUUAUGAAAUUCAAGGGCUAAAAAUCCGCUGCUUAUCAGUACCCAAAGGGAGGACAGCUAGAGGCAACAAUGCGUGUAAUGGAGGGACAUAAUGGGAUGUACUACAUGGGUUAAUUAUCA